Molecule: ribosomal RNA, 475 nt
Filed under: Streptococcus entericus
Lineage: Bacteria; Bacillati; Bacillota; Bacilli; Lactobacillales; Streptococcaceae
Description: bacterial SSU rRNA
Rfam family: Bacterial small subunit ribosomal RNA
Source: RNAcentral
UGGCUCAGGACGAACGCUGGCGGCGUGCCUAAUACAUGCAAGUGGAACGCAGUUAGUUCACCGGAGCUUGCUCCAUCGAAUUGACUGAGUCGCGAACGGGUGAGUAACGCGUAGGUAACCUGCCUGAUAGCGGGGGAUAACUAUUGGAAACGAUAGCUAAUACCGCAUAACAGUAUUUACUGCAUGGUAGAUACUUAAAAGGAGCAAUUGCUUCACUAUCAGAUGGACCUGCGUUGUAUUAGCUAGUAGGUAGGGUAACGGCCUACCUAGGCAUCGAUACAUAGCCGACCUGAGAGGGUGAUCGGCCACACUGGGACUGAGACACGGCCCAGACUCCUACGGGAGGCAGCAGUAGGGAAUCUUCGGCAAUGGGGGCAACCCUGACCGAGCAACGCCGCGUGAGUGAAGAAGGUUUUCGGAUCGUAAAGCUCUGUUGUAAGAGAAGAACGUUAGUGGGAGUGGAAAAUCCAUUAAG